AAACUCAAAUGAAUUGACGGGCCCCGCACAAGCAGCGGAGCGUGUGGUUUAAUUCGAUGCUACACGAAGAACCUUACCAGGGUUUGACAUACAAGUAGUAGGGAAAGGAAACUGGACCGACCCUUCGGGGAGCUUGUACAGGUGCUGCAUGGCUGUCGUCAGCUCGUGUCGUGAGAUGUUCGGUUAAGUCCGCUAACGAGCGCAACCCUCGCUGUGUGUUACAAGUGUCACACGGAACUGCCGGUCAUAAACCGGAGGAAGGUGGGGAUGACGUCAAGUCAGCAUGGCCUUUAUGUCCUGGGCUACACACACGCUACAAUGGCCAACACAAUAGGUUGCUAAGCCGCGAGGUGGAGCCAAUCCUCAAAGUUGGUCUCAGUUCAGAUUGCAGGCUGCAACCCGCCUGCAUGAAGAUGGAGUUGCUAGUAACCGCAGGUCAGCUAUACUGCGGUGAAUACGUUCCCGGGGCUU
Molecule: ribosomal RNA, 471 nt
Filed under: uncultured Leptolinea sp.
Lineage: Bacteria; Bacillati; Chloroflexota; Anaerolineae; Anaerolineales; Anaerolineaceae
Description: bacterial SSU rRNA
Rfam family: Bacterial small subunit ribosomal RNA
Source: RNAcentral